UGGGGAAUAUUGGACAAUGGGGGGAACCCUGAUCCAGCCAUGCCGCGUGUGUGAAGAAGGCCUUAUGGUUGUAAAGCACUUUAAGCGAGGAGGAGGGUACUGGUAUUAAUACUACCAGGUACUGGACGUUACUCGCAGAAUAAGCACCGGCUAACUCUGUGCAAGCAGCCGCGGUAAUACAGAGGGUGCGAGCGUUAAUCGGAUUUACUGGGCGUAAAGCGUGCGUAGGCGGCUAAUUGAGUCGGAUGUGAAAUCCCCGAGCUUAACUUGGGAAUUGCAUUCGAUACUGGUUAGCUAGAGUGUGGGAGAGGAUGGUAGAAUUCCAGGUGUAGCGGUGAAAUGCGUAGAGAUCUGGAGGAAUACCGAUGGCGAAGGCAGCCAUCUGGCCUAACACUGACGCUGAGGUACGAAAGCAUGGGGAGCAAACAGG
RNAcentral lists this ribosomal RNA (430 nucleotides) under Pseudomonadota bacterium. Its description in RNAcentral is "Proteobacteria bacterium partial 16S ribosomal RNA". It matches the Rfam family "Bacterial small subunit ribosomal RNA", at positions 355 to 776 of the family's 1533-position model. Lineage: Bacteria; Pseudomonadati; Pseudomonadota. The record is from RNAcentral.